AUACGGAGGGUGCAAGCGUUAUCCGGAUUUAUUGGGUUUAAAGGGUGCGCAGGCGGAAUGAUAAGUCAGUGGUGAAAUCCUACAGCUUAACUGUAGAACUGCCAUUGAUACUGUCAUUCUUGAGUACACUUGAAGUGGGCGGAAUGUAUCAUGUAGCGGUGAAAUGCAUAGAUAUGAUACAGAACUCCGAUAGCGAAGGCAGCUCACUAAAUUGUAACUGACGCUCAGGCACGAAAGCGUGGGGAGCAAACAGAAGUAGAUACCCUAGUAGUCC
This 274-nucleotide ribosomal RNA is filed under the name uncultured bacterium. RNAcentral's name for it is "partial 16S ribosomal RNA". It matches the Rfam family "Bacterial small subunit ribosomal RNA", at positions 523 to 796 of the family's 1533-position model. The record is from RNAcentral.